CCAAAGGAUUUAUUCGCUGAAAGAUGGGCUCAUAUCUGAUUAGCUAGUUGGUGAGGUAACGGCUCACCAAGGCUGCGAUCAGUAGCCGGACUGAGAGGUUGAACGGCCACAUUGGGACUGAGAUACGGCCCAGACUCCUACGGGAGGCAGCAGUGGGGAAUAUUGGGCAAUGGGCGAAAGCCUGACCCAGCAACGCCGCGUGAAGGAAGAAGGUCUUCGGAUUGUAAACUUCUUUUAUGAGGGACGAAGGACGUGACGGUACCUCAUGAAUAAGCCACGGCUAACUACGUGCCAGCAGCCGCGGUAAUACGUAGGUGGCAAGCGUUAUCCGGAUUUACUGGGUGUAAAGGGCGCGUAGGCGGGGAUGCAAGUCAGAUGUGAAAUCUAUGGGCUUAACCCAUAAACUGCAUUUGAAACUGUAUCUCUUGAGUGCUGGAGAGGUAGACGGAAUUCCUUGUGUAGCGGUGAAAUGCGUAGAUAUAAGGAAGAACACCAGUGGCGAAGGCGGUCUACUGGACAGUAACUGACGCUGAGGCGCGAGAGCGUGGGGAGCAAACAGGAUUAGAUACCCUGGUAGUCCACGCUGUAAACGAUGAAUACUAGGUGUGGGGGGACUGACCCCUUCCGUGCCGCAGUUAACACAAUAAGUAUUCCACCUGGGGAGUACGGCCGCAAGGUUGCAACUCAAAG
RNAcentral lists this ribosomal RNA (690 nucleotides) under uncultured Bacillota bacterium. Its description in RNAcentral is "bacterial SSU rRNA". It matches the Rfam family "Bacterial small subunit ribosomal RNA", at positions 201 to 906 of the family's 1533-position model. Lineage: Bacteria; Bacillati; Bacillota. The record is from RNAcentral.